GUAGCAUCACCUGCAUUUUCCUUGGGGGGACUCCAGACGAGCGGCACCUCUGCUCGGGGACCUCUGCAGCGGGGGAAAGGAGUCCAGGUUAGGGCUAGGCUUAGGGUCAGGGGAGAGAGAAAGCGUCGAGCCCCGCGUGGAGUGGGGCUGCUAGGGGCAUGCCAAAGGAAAUGCCCAGCUGCACCAACACUGCUCCCAGCGCACCUGUUUUGUUCAGGCCAAGAACAGGCCUGGUGGGCUCAGGUUCAGGCCCCGCCUGAGAUUAGGGCUAGGCUUGGGGUUAGGAGAGAGAGAAAACAUCGAGCCCCCUGUGGAGUGGGGCUGCUAGGGGCAUGCCAGAGGGCUAGGGCUAGGGAGGAACAAAGAAAGAAUGAAAGGGAGAAAGAGGGAGAGAGGGAGGCAAGAGAAAGAGCUAGAGAGAGAGGAAAAGAGAGAAGGAGAUAAGAGAGAAGAGAGAAAGAAGAGAGAGGAAGAGAGAGACAGGAAGACUCCAGGCAAAUUCCAAGCUGCCAUCUAAUCGCUACCUGCACGGCUGCCUCUCUGGAAUAAUUUCAGGGAGGAAAAACCUCUGCAGCUCAGCAGCCGAGGAACCUGUUUCCUUUCCAAAGAGUCACUGCUAGAGAUCUGCUCCACGAAAGAGCCAUUCAUUUCCCAUCAUCAGGAGUCCCAUUACCAGCUGCCUUUUUCACCUCGGAGGAAUGGGAGCGGAAGCUGAGGGCCCACUGCCAUCUGUAGGGCAGGGGAGUUUCCACAGGCUCACGAGAGUAGCUCUUGCUGAAAUCUUGACUAAGCUAACUGGAGAACACUUUCCAGCUUUCCUUUUCCACUCCUGCAAAGCGCUGUGUCCCACUUCUCAAAGGACUCCAAAGAAGAUGAGAGGAGAGAGGAAAAACACCCUCGCACUUCCAGUUCUCCCUGUGUAAUCCCUAUCCAAGUGCCCAACCUGUUGGCAGAGGCAGUUUCGACAUCUCUGCGGUCUCAGUUGUAGAACAUGAAGAAAGGCCCUGUAAGAAAGCCUUAAUCAAAGCGAAGAUUUAAAGUGGAAAUAUGUAACGUUCCCAUCUUACCUAUGGAGAAGUUCCACCCCAUUGGCUGGGGGUGCACCUCUGUCUUGGCUGAAACAGAACAUGGGCUCUCUGGAUGAACGUUUCCACAGAUGAUUUCUUUAGAGCAGUUUUCAGUUAUUGCUCAGGACUUUCUCUUUUAACAUCUAGAAAAACAAAUAAAGCUAUUACUGUUGCAGCCA
This 1246-nucleotide long non-coding RNA is filed under the name Struthio camelus australis. RNAcentral describes it as "lncRNA (ENSSCUG00000003103.1)". The record is from RNAcentral. Lineage: Eukaryota; Metazoa; Chordata; Aves; Struthioniformes; Struthionidae.